RNAcentral lists this ribosomal RNA (650 nucleotides) under Ctenus crulsi group sp. DP-2014. RNAcentral describes it as "eukaryotic LSU rRNA". The stretch from base 427 to 650 matches the Rfam family "Eukaryotic large subunit ribosomal RNA", at positions 665 to 857 of the family's 3401-position model. Lineage: Eukaryota; Metazoa; Arthropoda; Arachnida; Araneae; Ctenidae. The record is from RNAcentral.
CGCUGGUCGGAAAACGAGGUAGGGCUUCCCGUGACCGGGGCCGUCCGACCGCGAGUUUCCGUUUCGCCAGACGCAUUUGUCUCCCUCUCGAAGGACGCCGCAGCCGGUCGGGCAGCGCAAGCGCGACGGCCUGAGGGGCGGACGAUGGCAGGUGGCCGGUGGCGUGCCUCGUGCGCGUCGCCGGUUGUUAGCCGGUCCGUCAGUGGCUCGUCGCUCGACCGAGGUAUCACGAGGCCCUUCGGGGCUCUCUCGCCUCCUCCUAACGGAAGUCGGGACAGACCGUCGCAAGCGAAGGCCGCCGUCCCGCCGCACUCCCUCGGAGUGGGCGGGCGAACGGUCGGCGCCGAUCGCGACGGCGGACCCGUCGGAGGCCGGAGGCUGGCGGCGAGUAGGUCGGUCACCCACCCGACCCGUCUUGAAACACGGACCAAGGAGUCUAACAUGUGCGCGAGUCAAUGGGUCUUGAACAGGCCCAGGGGCGCAAUGAAAGCAAAGGUCGGCUUCGCGUCGACCGAGUUGGGAUCCCGCGGAGUCUCUCCGCGGGCGCACUAACGACCCGUCCUAUGCGGCUCGCCGCUUGGRCGGAGUGUGAGCGUACACGUUGGGACCCGAAAGAUGGUGAACUAUGCCCGAAGAGGAUGAGGCCAGAG